This 1415-nucleotide ribosomal RNA is filed under the name Pyrococcus yayanosii CH1. Its description in RNAcentral is "16S ribosomal RNA". It matches the Rfam family "Archaeal small subunit ribosomal RNA". Lineage: Archaea; Methanobacteriati; Methanobacteriota; Thermococci; Thermococcales; Thermococcaceae. The record is from RNAcentral.
UCCUGCCGGAGGCCACUGCUAUGGGGGUCCGACUAAGCCAUGCGAGUCAAGGGGGCGUCCCUUCUGGGACGCCACCGGCGGACGGCUCAGUAACACGUCGGUAACCUACCCUCGGGAGGGGGAUAACCCCGGGAAACUGGGGCUAAUCCCCCAUAGGCCUGGGGUACUGGAAGGUCCCCAGGCCGAAAGGGAGCCGUAAGGCUCCGCCCGAGGAUGGGCCGGCGGCCGAUUAGGUAGUUGGUGGGGUAACGGCCCACCAAGCCGAAGAUCGGUACGGGCCGUGAGAGCGGGAGCCCGGAGAUGGACACUGAGACACGGGUCCAGGCCCUACGGGGCGCAGCAGGCGCGAAACCUCCGCAAUGCGGGAAACCGCGACGGGGGGACCCCCAGUGCCGUGCCUCUGGCACGGCUUUUCCGGAGUGUAAAAAGCUCCGGGAAUAAGGGCUGGGCAAGGCCGGUGGCAGCCGCCGCGGUAAUACCGGCGGCCCGAGUGGUGGCCACUAUUAUUGGGCCUAAAGCGGCCGUAGCCGGGCCCGUAAGUCCCUGGCGAAAUCCCACGGCUCAACCGUGGGGCUCGCUGGGGAUACUGCGGGCCUUGGGACCGGGAGAGGCCGGGGGUACCCCCGGGGUAGGGGUGAAAUCCUAUAAUCCCGGGGGGACCGCCAGUGGCGAAGGCGCCCGGCUGGAACGGGUCCGACGGUGAGGGCCGAAGGCCAGGGGAGCGAACCGGAUUAGAUACCCGGGUAGUCCUGGCUGUAAAGGAUGCGGGCUAGGUGUCGGGCGAGCUUCGAGCUCGCCCGGUGCCGUAGGGAAGCCGUUAAGCCCGCCGCCUGGGGAGUACGGCCGCAAGGCUGAAACUUAAAGGAAUUGGCGGGGGAGCACUACAAGGGGUGGAGCGUGCGGUUUAAUUGGAUUCAACGCCGGGAACCUCACCGGGGGCGACGGCAGGAUGAAGGCCAGGCUGAAGGUCUUGCCGGACGCGCCGAGAGGAGGUGCAUGGCCGCCGUCAGCUCGUACCGUGAGGCGUCCACUUAAGUGUGGUAACGAGCGAGACCCGCGCCCCCAGUUGCCAGUCCCUCCCGCUCGGGAGGGAGGCACUCUGGGGGGACUGCCGGCGAUAAGCCGGAGGAAGGGGCGGGCGACGGUAGGUCAGUAUGCCCCGAAACCCCCGGGCUACACGCGCGCUACAAUGGGCGGGACAAUGGGACCCGACCCCGAAAGGGGAAGGGAAUCCCCUAAACCCGCCCUCAGUUCGGAUCGCGGGCUGCAACUCGCCCGCGUGAAGCUGGAAUCCCUAGUACCCGCGCGUCAUCAUCGCGCGGCGAAUACGUCCCUGCUCCUUGCACACACCGCCCGUCACUCCACCCGAGCGGGGUCCGGGUGAGGCCCAGUCUCCUUCGGGAGGCUGGGUCGAG